Long non-coding RNA from Lepus europaeus (European hare), 3526 nucleotides. RefSeq lists it as uncharacterized. The transcript has 3 exons. Lineage: Eukaryota; Metazoa; Chordata; Mammalia; Lagomorpha; Leporidae. The record is from RefSeq and is a predicted model, not a curated record.
AUCCUUUCUGUCCGAAGAGGGCGAUUUGGGAUUGUACUGGGUGUACGGAGAGUAAGGGGAGAGGUUUGAGUUCCGGGGCUCUCCCCUUCAUGUUGGCCGCUGCUCCUGAAGUCGUUGGUUCGCGUGUCCGAGUUCCUGCUGGCAAAUGGUGACGGCGAGCUUGCGGUAACCCGCUGCGGGAUGAAGAAAACUCCAAAGAAGCUGGCAUGAAGAGGUUCCCAGUGACCUAAGCUUGGACAGUUUGAGCAUCAGAACAUACGGUUAUUACUACAGUGGACCAAUAAACAGAAAUCCACAUGAUGAUGAUGAUGGUGACAAUGCCACCAAAAGGUCGUUGAUCACUUUGCUGGACAUCAACACAUUAUUUUGCAGAUUUAUAAGGGAAGAAGUUUAACAAAAAAAAAAAAAAAAAAAAAGAAAUAAGAAACCUUACCUACACCAGGGCUGUUAAAGGAGCUAGAAAGAGGGAUUCUGGGGGAGUUUUCUCAUCUUUCUAGGUGUGGGGAUAUGAAGCUGUGGUUGUCCAUUUCUGUGCCAAGUUAGACAACUCAUGAACAGAAGGCAGUCCUUGUACUACAGGUAAUAAGUGCAGGCAGCAGCCUGCUAUUCACAGAGUGGACUCCACUCCUCUACUUAUGUGUAGUUUACAUCCAAGUUCACACUAUGUGUCUGCCCUGUCGUGUCCAGAAAGUGCUCAUUGGGUUUCUAAUGCAAAUGAUGAAAACACAGGAAUCAGAUAUUUGUGCAAGUGGAAAUUGCUUUGUUUUCAUUUGUAACUGAAUUAAUUAUCAGACACUUGCGUUCAUUACUGUAACUACAAUGGAACCCCAGCUCUUGUAGUUUGAUAAAGAUCCACGUGUGAUUUUGAUGUCUGAUAUAGGAAUUGACCACAGAGCCAGAGGGCCAGAGUCCAGAUUUUCACUCUUUAAGAUACUGCUUUGAGGCUGAUGAAGGUAAAUGCUGUCAGAUGGAUGGAGAUGUGCCUCUUUUGUUAGCCCCACAUAUUUGUCUUGAGCUUUCAUGAGAAUGAGUUCAACUUGCUCCCUCUCUUCUAAGUGCCUUCAGUGCAUGGGCAACACAUUGACCAAGCAAUUUCAGCAGACACUCAGUGCAUGAAUAGGAGGGCAUCAAACCCAGAAAGAGGAGGCCAUCAUUGAUGCAGCACCACAAAAGACGGGUAUUAAGACUAAAGGAGCUAAGCCUCCAAGUUGGAGGGCUCAUCCAUGCCCAGCACAAGGACUGAAAGGUGGCCUACCCCAAGGAACUCAGUGUGAAAUUGCAAAAGGCUUUAAAACUUCUAGAAAUUACCCAGAGGAUUCAGAAUCAGAAUGGCUUUGGAGUUCUCAACAGCAAUCCUAGAAACUGAGGUCAUCAAAAUCCUGAGAAUGGCAGCUCAACAUGGAACAAUACCCCCACCAUCUCACUAUGAGAAUUGAAAACAUCUUCAGACAGAGGUCUGAGAGGCUUAGCUGCCAUGCAUGAUGUAGCUGGAACUCCUACAGGAUGCAUUUUAGCAAAAUGAAGGAAGCUGAGACAACCAAAGCCUAUAGUCAAGAAUCAAGACCCAACACAGCAAAGCCACUGGUAAAAGAGAAUCCCAGGAAGAGGGAGCAGGGAGCUGCAGCAGGGCUGCCAAGCAUGAGCCUAAAAAGCAGCCACCGUGGGCACUAACCGUGCAGAUUGGAGAAGGAGGUCCUGUGCUUGGUGAAGAGGCCUCUGAAGGGAGCAUCAGGGAACAAAGAUAAAUGCAACACCUGGCUUCCUGGUGUACGUAAUCCUUCACUUGAGAGUUUUCAGGUGCUUAUUAAUCAUCUUGUAAAAUCUAAUACAGGAGCUGAGAUUGUGUCAUAGUGUGUUAAGCUGCCACCUGAAAUGCUGGCAUCCCAUAUGGACACGAGUUUGAGGCCCAGCUGUUCUGCUUCUGAUCCAGCUCCCAGCUGGUGUGCCUGGGAAAGUGGCGGAGGAUAUCCCAAGUGCUUCAGCCCGUGCAACUACAUGGUUCUGGGCUCCUGACACAUCCCCAGCAGUUGGAGCCAUAGGGGUAAUGAUCUAGUGAAUGGAGGGUCUUUCUCUGUCUUUCCAUCUUUUCCUGUAACUCUGCUUUCAAAUAAACAGAUCUUUUUAAAGAAUCUAAAACUUGGAAAAACACAUCCAGACCAGAUUCCAGGUUCUGAUUUACAAAGUGAUUGGACAUAGUACUUUGUUGUCACCACAACCUUGCACUAACAAAACAUCAGUGGAGUCACCUGGGCCUUCUUAGAAAUGGGGAUUGCCCUAAGCUGACUGAGCUGGAGUUGAAUGAGUAAACAGCAGGCAUUUUAAGGCUUUAGAAGCUUUGCUGGGAGCAGGGAUCCUCAAAGUGUGGUCCCCAGGCUAGCAACACCCAAUGGGUCUUGUGUGUAAUGAGAGCACAGCAGAGGCAGAAAGAGGAUCACAUGGCGAACUCAGAAGCAGGGCAGGAGCAUUCUGGUCAUCUGCCACCUGGUGGCUUCACCAUGGGACUCCACCCUAACUGAAAUCCAACCCAAUCACAUUCUAACACUGUAGCCUCAGACACAAUAACUUGAUUAAGUUCCAUCGUUAAUCUUUUAAUCUGUGAUUCUGGAGAUCAAUGCCUUAACACAUGGACCCCUAGGGUCCCCUAAACUAUGAUCCAUCCAUAGCAGCAUCUCAUGAAUUUUAAGAUCAGUUGGUCAAUUUUUACAAAAAUAAGAAACAAACAAAUCCCACAUGGAUUUUCAUUGUAAUUGAAUAGGAUCUGUGCAUUUAUUUAGGGCUUUCUUGAUCCUAUUGAGCCUCUGAAUACAUGACAUGGAAUAUCUCUUCUUUCCUGCACAGUACCCUUAAUUUCUCUCAACCAGCUUUUAACAUUUUCAGUGUGUAAGUCCUGCUCUUCCCGUGGGGAAAUGUAUUGCUAAGUAUGCUGUGCCUUUCAGAGACCUUGUGGUGGGAAUUGUUCUCUCCAGUUCACUCGCACAUUGAUCAUGACCCAUGCAGAGAAGUGGAAUUAGUUUCAUCUAUUGAUUUUCUAUCCUGUGACCUUGCAGAACUCAUUUACUAGCUUAUGUGAGCUUUUGUUGAUGACUCCUUAGGAUAUUCUAUGUAGAGCAUUGUGUUUUCUGUAAAUAAAGAUAAUUUUCAUUCUUCCUAUCUAAUAUGUUACUUUGUUCCUUUUUUCUUUUCAGUUCUUUCUUUUUGUGUUUCCAACUUUUGUGCUGGAGCUUGAGGUAUUUGUCAUUGUUGUUUAGUUGGAUUUGCUUUUUGGCCACAUUUUUAAAAAUAUUUGGAGAUGCAUAUACAUUUACAAGAAGUUUUCUCCAUGGACAUAAGAUGUUGUGUUUGUAAUGAAAUUUCCCUAUGCAUCUUUAGUAGCAGUUUUUUGUCAUCAAGUCUAUUUUGCCUGAUAUUAAUAUAGCUCCUGCAGCUUUCAUGAUUAGUUUGCAUGGUCUCUUUUUUUCAAUCAUUUUACUUCUUUCUUUUUUAAAAAUAUUUUUCAUCAUUUUACUUUCAACAUAUUUGUGACUAU